CCAACCCCAUAAGUGUUGCAAGUGUGACCGUGUCACCUGUGCAUCAGUAAGCGGCUGAGGGGAGAGAGGCUAUGUCUAUGCUCAAUGUUCUGACCUAUGAACAUGAUUAGUAGCCUAACAUU
Molecule: small nucleolar RNA, 122 nt
Filed under: Mus pahari (shrew mouse)
Lineage: Eukaryota; Metazoa; Chordata; Mammalia; Rodentia; Muridae
Description: predicted gene, 24326 (MGP_PahariEiJ_G0034770.1)
Rfam family: Small nucleolar RNA SNORA17
About the family: snoRNA ACA 17 belongs to the H/ACA family of snoRNAs and is predicted to guide pseudouridylation of the 28S rRNA at positions U4659 and U4598. It shares the same host gene together with ACA43.
Source: RNAcentral